This is a non-coding RNA of Vigna umbellata (rice bean), 372 nucleotides long. The record is from RefSeq and is a predicted model, not a curated record. Lineage: Eukaryota; Viridiplantae; Streptophyta; Magnoliopsida; Fabales; Fabaceae.
UAGUCUAUUUUAAUGAACAGAAAGCAUGGGCUGAUGAAGUAGAAGAAUGGGAGAACUGCAGAAACGACGACGUAUCAUGCCCAGCUAUAUAUGCUUCUGAAAGUGCAGAAGAUGCCUGUGCAUGGGCAUAUGAAGGGGCCCCUGAAGGUUCAGUACUGGAUGAUGAAUACUUCUUUUCUCGUUUUCCGAUAGUCAAUUUGCGGUUAGCUCAAGGAGGAGUUCGAUUGGCUGCAACUCUUAAUCGUAUUUUUGACACAGUAUCUCUAAUGUCAAUGUAAUUUAUUGAAGGUUAGAAAUAGAUCAACAAUUUCCAUGUUAUAAUAGAAUAAACCGUAAAAGCUAAUUUGUUCAACUAGUUUGUGUGUUUUAAGA